AAGUCUGUAUUCUAUGUUAAGGAUUCUUGGUUUUGGUCCAAGAGGAGUAGACUUA
This 55-nucleotide transfer RNA is filed under the name Pratylenchus vulnus (walnut meadow nematode). Its description in RNAcentral is "tRNA-Gln". Lineage: Eukaryota; Metazoa; Nematoda; Chromadorea; Rhabditida; Pratylenchidae. The record is from RNAcentral.